CAAGGGCAACCGGCGAACGGGUGCGUAACACGUGAGCAACCUACCGAGAUCUGGGGGAUAGCCGGCCCAACGGCCGGGUAAUACCGCAUACGCUCUUUCCACGGCAUUGUGGAUUGAGGAAACCUCCGGGGGAUUUCGAGGGGCUCGCGGCCUAUCAGCUAGUUGGCGAGGUCACGGCUCACCAAGGCGACGACGGGUAGCUGGUCUGAGAGGAUGGCCAGCCACAUUGGGACUGAGAAACGGCCCAGACUCCUACGGGAGGCAGCAGUGGGGAAUAUUGCGCAAUGGCCGAAAGGCUGACGCAGCGACGCCGCGUGUGGGAGGAAGCCUUUCGGGGUGUAAACCACUGUUGCCCGGGACGAACAGCUCCUUCAUGGAGCCUGACGGUACCGGGUGAGGAAGCACCGGCUAACUCCGUGCCAGCAGCCGCGGUAAUACGGGGGGUGCGAGCGUUGUCCGGAAUCACUGGGCGUAAAGGGCGCGUAGGUGGCUUGGUAAGCGCGUGGUGAAAGCCCGGAGCUCAACUCCGGGUCUGCCGUGCCGACUGUCAAACUCGAGGACUGUAGAGGCAGACGGAAUUCCGGGUGUAGCGGUGGAAUGCGUAGAGAUCCGGAGGAAGACCGGUGGCGAAGGCGGUCUGCUGGGCAGUUUCUGACACUGAGGCGCGACAGCGUGGGGAGCAAACAGGAUUAGAUACCCUGGUAGUCCACGCCGUAAACGAUGGGUACUAGGUGCCUGGGGGAGCGACCCUCUGGGUGCCGGCGCUAACGCAGGAAGUACCCCGCCUGGGGAGUACGACCGCAAGGUUGAAACUCAAAGGAAUUGACGG
Molecule: ribosomal RNA, 829 nt
Filed under: uncultured Gemmatimonadota bacterium
Lineage: Bacteria; Pseudomonadati; Gemmatimonadota
Description: bacterial SSU rRNA
Rfam family: Bacterial small subunit ribosomal RNA
Source: RNAcentral